This 446-nucleotide ribosomal RNA is filed under the name uncultured bacterium. RNAcentral's name for it is "partial 16S ribosomal RNA". It matches the Rfam family "Bacterial small subunit ribosomal RNA", at positions 338 to 795 of the family's 1533-position model. The record is from RNAcentral.
CCUACGGGAGGCAGCAGUCGAGAAUCAUUCACAAUGGGGGAAACCCUGAUGGUGCGACGCCGCGUGGGGGAAUGAAGGUCUUCGGAUUGUAAACCCCUGUCAUGUGGGAGCAAAUUAAAAAGAUAGUACCACAAGAGGAAGAGACGGCAAACUCUGUGCCAGCAGCCGCGGUAAUACAGAGGUCUCAAGCGUUGUUCGGAAUCACUGGGCGUAACGCGUGCGUAGGCUGUUUCGUAAGUCGUGUGUGAAAGGCGCGGGCUAAACCCGCGGACGGCACAUGAUACUGCGAGACUAGAGUAAUGGAGGGGGAACCGGAAUUCUCGGUGUAGCAGUGAAAUGCGUAGAUAUCGAGAGGAACACUCGUGGCGAAGGCGGGUUCCUGGACAUUAACUGACGCUGAGGCACGAAGGCCAGGGGAGCGAAAGGGAUUAGAUACCCUUGUAGUC